RNAcentral lists this ribosomal RNA (301 nucleotides) under uncultured bacterium. Its description in RNAcentral is "partial 16S ribosomal RNA". It matches the Rfam family "Bacterial small subunit ribosomal RNA", at positions 509 to 809 of the family's 1533-position model. The record is from RNAcentral.
CAGCAGCCACGGGAAUACGGAGGGUGCAAGCGUUAUCCGGAUUUAUUGGGUUUAAAGGGUCCGUAGGCGGACUUAUAAGUCAGUGGUGAAAGCCUGUCGCUUAACGAUAGAACUGCCAUUGAUACUGUAAGUCUUGAGUAUAUUUGAGGUAGCUGGAAUAAGUAGUGUAGCGGUGAAAUGCAUAGAUAUUACUUAGAACACCAAUUGCGAAGGCAGGUUACCAAGAUAUAACUGACGCUGAGGGACGAAAGCGUGGGUAGCGAACAGGAUUAGAUACCCGGGUAGUCCCUGUCUCUUAUAA